AUGGAGUCAUGUAGCGUGGCCAGGAUAAUGAGCUUAGGGAGGCUUGCUAUACACCGGACGUAUUUGUGCACCCUAAUCUUCAGAAAUUUGCCAAAGCUGCUAGGCUUCACUCCCACUUCACUGAAGAGAAAGAGAUUCUGCAAAGCUGAACAUGUUGAGCUACAACUGACCAAGAAGACUACACUGCCGGAGCUGCCUCCGGACAUCUUGAUGGGUAUUUUUGCCACCCUUGAGAUCCCUGACCUCGUGCGUGCCGGCUCUGUCUGUUCCUCCUGGCGCUCCGCAUACACAAGCCUACGGAGCCUUGGGCAGUACAAUCUCCAGCAGACCCCAUGCCUCCUCUACACUCCAAAUCCACCGGUGAGAGUGUUGCGUGCCUCUACAGCCUCGCAGAGAAGAGAUCAUACAAGUUAA
Molecule: ribosomal RNA, 414 nt
Filed under: Triticum aestivum (bread wheat)
Lineage: Eukaryota; Viridiplantae; Streptophyta; Magnoliopsida; Poales; Poaceae
Description: partial small subunit ribosomal RNA
Source: RNAcentral